Xylariales sp. PMI_506 is the source of this 103-nucleotide non-coding RNA. Lineage: Eukaryota; Fungi; Ascomycota; Sordariomycetes; Xylariales. The record is from the annotation of a GenBank genome assembly.
GUUCGCUUGGCCUAGUGGUUAGGGCAUAUGCUUUACAUAGAUGGCUUCAAACCUAUCAAAAAUGAAUCGCAUAGGAUCGCAGGUUCGAUCCCUGCAGUGAACA